UGGGGAAUAUUGCGCAAUGGCCGAAAGGCUGACGCAGCGACGCCGCGUGUGGGAGGAAGCCCUUCGGGGUGUAAACCACUGUCAGAGGAGAAGAACCCUGCCAGUUCGCAUAGGGCUGGCAGUUGACGGUACCCUCAAAGGAAGAACCGGCCAACGCUGUGCCAGCAGCCGCGGUAAUACAGAGGGUGCGAGCGUUGUUCGGAAUUACUGGGCGUAAAGCGCGCGUAGGCGGAUGUUCAAGUCGGGGGUGAAAUCCCGGGGCUCAACCCCGGAACUGCCUCCGAUACUGGACGUCUCGAGGACGGGAGAGGCGAGUGGAAUGCCGAGUGUAGAGGUGAAAUUCGUAGAUAUUCGGCGGAACACCCGUGGCGAAGGCGGCUCGCUGGUCCGUUUCUGACGCUGAGGCGCGAAAGCGUGGGGAGCAA
RNAcentral lists this ribosomal RNA (425 nucleotides) under uncultured bacterium. Its description in RNAcentral is "bacterial SSU rRNA". It matches the Rfam family "Bacterial small subunit ribosomal RNA", at positions 355 to 771 of the family's 1533-position model. The record is from RNAcentral.